Molecule: long non-coding RNA, 397 nt
Filed under: Pogona vitticeps (central bearded dragon)
Lineage: Eukaryota; Metazoa; Chordata; Lepidosauria; Squamata; Agamidae
Description: lncRNA (ENSPVIG00000007517.1)
Source: RNAcentral
ACAGAAUUCAUUCCAGAAAUAGAAUUUGGAAGAUACAUCACUAGAACAAAGUGUCUCCUUAGAUCCGCUUCACUUGAAGAGAAUAACAAAUAGGGAAAGAGUUAGGUAUCUUAAGAAGCAGUGACAAGGUACAUUGUUCUGAGCUCCCAGUGGCAAUCAGAAGUCACCGUGAAACGUAAGGGAACUGAAGACAACAACUGCUUCAGUCUGUGUGUAUACACAUGUGAACCUUUAAGGAAGUUUUUCAAGAAGAGAUGACAACACUGAAGUCAAUUUCCCGAUGAAAUCUUCCUGGGAACACUAGUUUGUCCUUUAUAUAUAAAGAAGAAGAAGAGCGAGGGGAAAGGAACAACCAUACAGAGUAAUUAUAUUCAACACAAUAUUGAAUUGUAAUAAA